This 779-nucleotide ribosomal RNA is filed under the name Weissella hellenica. Its description in RNAcentral is "bacterial SSU rRNA". It matches the Rfam family "Bacterial small subunit ribosomal RNA", at positions 39 to 779 of the family's 1533-position model. Lineage: Bacteria; Bacillati; Bacillota; Bacilli; Lactobacillales; Lactobacillaceae. The record is from RNAcentral.
GCGGCGGCUAUAAUGCAGUCGAACGCUUUGUGCUUAAUUGAUAUGACGAGCUUGCUCUGAUUUGAUUUUUUGAUUUCAAAGAGUGGCGAACGGGUGAGUAACACGUGGGUAACCUACCUCUUAGCAGGGGAUAACAUUUGGAAACAAGUGCUAAUACCGUAUAAUACCAACAACCGCAUGGUUGUUGGUUGAAAGAUGGUUCUGCUAUCACUAAGAGAUGGACCCGCGGUGCAUUAGCUAGUUGGUAAGGUAAUGGCUUACCAAGGCAAUGAUGCAUAGCCGAGUUGAGAGACUGAUCGGCCACAAUGGGACUGAGACACGGCCCAUACUCCUACGGGAGGCAGCAGUAGGGAAUCUUCCACAAUGGGCGCAAGCCUGAUGGAGCAACGCCGCGUGUGUGAUGAAGGGUUUCGGCUCGUAAAACACUGUUAUAAGAGAAGAACGGCACUGAGAGUAACUGUUCAGUGUGUGACGGUAUCUUACCAGAAAGGAACGGCUAAAUACGUGCCAGCAGCCGCGGUAAUACGUAUGUUCCAAGCGUUAUCCGGAUUUAUUGGGCGUAAAGCGAGCGCAGACGGUUAUUUAAGUCUGAAGUGAAAGCCCUCAGCUCAACUGAGGAAUUGCUUUGGAAACUGGAUGACUUGAGUGCAGUAGAGGAAAGUGGAACUCCAUGUGUAGCGGUGAAAUGCGUAGAUAUAUGGAAGAACACCAGUGGCGAAGGCGGCUUUCUGGACUGUAACUGACGUUGAGGCUCGAAAGUGUGGGUAGCAAACAGGAUU